CCUACGGGGCGCAGCAGUGGGGGAUAUUGCACAAUGGGGGAAACCCUGAUGCAGCGACGCCGCGUGGGCGAAGAAGUAUUUCGGUAUGUAAAGCCCUAUCAGCAGGGAAGAAAAUGACGGUACCUGAAGAAGAAGCCCCGGCUAACUACGUGCCAGCAGCCGCGGUAAUACGUAGGGGGCAAGCGUUAUCCGGAUUUACUGGGUGUAAAGGGAGCGUAGACGGCGAUGCAAGUCUGAAGUGAAAGGCGGGGGCCCAACCCCCGGACUGCUUUGGAAACUGUAUGGCUGGAGGGCAGGAGAGGUAA
Molecule: ribosomal RNA, 305 nt
Filed under: uncultured bacterium
Lineage: Bacteria
Description: bacterial SSU rRNA
Rfam family: Bacterial small subunit ribosomal RNA
Source: RNAcentral